This 72-nucleotide transfer RNA is filed under the name Ictidomys tridecemlineatus (thirteen-lined ground squirrel). RNAcentral describes it as "Spermophilus tridecemlineatus (thirteen-lined ground squirrel) tRNA". It matches the Rfam family "tRNA". From Rfam's summary of the family: Transfer RNA (tRNA) molecules are approximately 80 nucleotides in length. Their secondary structure includes four short double-helical elements and three loops (D, anti-codon, and T loops). Further hydrogen bonds mediate the characteristic L-shaped molecular structure. tRNAs have two regions of fundamental functional importance: the anti-codon, which is responsible for specific mRNA codon recognition, and the 3' end, to which the tRNAs corresponding amino acid is attached (by aminoacyl-tRNA synthetases). tRNAs cope with the degeneracy of the genetic code in two manners: having more than one tRNA (with a specific anti-codon) for a particular amino acid; and 'wobble' base-pairing, i.e. permitting non-standard base-pairing at the 3rd anti-codon position. The record is from Rfam by way of RNAcentral. Lineage: Eukaryota; Metazoa; Chordata; Mammalia; Rodentia; Sciuridae.
GGAGAUGUAGCUUAGUGGUAGAGCCCUUGCCUAGUAUGCUUAAGGCCCUGGGUUCAAUCCCCAGUACCAUUA